Molecule: ribosomal RNA, 381 nt
Filed under: uncultured marine Chaetocerotaceae
Lineage: Eukaryota; Bacillariophyta; Thalassiosirophyceae; Chaetocerotales; Chaetocerotaceae
Description: SSU rRNA
Rfam family: Eukaryotic small subunit ribosomal RNA
Source: RNAcentral
AGCUCCAAUAGCGUAUAUUAAAGUUGCUGCAGUUAAAAAGCUCGUAGUUGCAUUUCCGAGGCAAGGGAUUAGUCCGACCUUUGGUGGGUAUUUAAUCCUCUUGCCUCGUCCUUGAGUGGUGCUUCUUGGUAUUAAGUUAUCGAGGAGAUAGCCGCUCAUCGUUUACUGUGAGAAAAUUAGAGUGUUCAAAGCAGGCUUAUGCCGUUGAAUAUAUUAGCAUGGAAUAAUAAGAUAGUACCUCGGUACUAUUUUGUUGGUUUGAGAACCAAGGUAAUGAUUAAUAGGGACAGUUGGGGGUAUUCGUAUUCAGUUGUCAGAGGUGAAAUUCUUAGAUUUACGGAAGACGAACUACUGCGAAAGCAUUUACCAAGGAUGUUUUCA